AUGGGCAAUCAAACAUUAAAGUCCAUCGAUAUGAAACCUUGAUCGAAGAGUCCCAAACCAGUGGGACUCUUGACCCCGGUAUCCAACAUAUGUGAAACUCGUGAUCAGAGAAUCCUGAUUCUCAAUCAUAGAAUCUCCAAGCAUUAGGACUCUUGGUCAAAGAGUCUCAGUCCAGUGGGACUCUUCACCAGUCAUCAGAUCAGAUAGGAAC
RNAcentral lists this long non-coding RNA (211 nucleotides) under Elaeis guineensis (African oil palm). RNAcentral's name for it is "long non-coding RNA (EGUI_LNC055766)". The record is from RNAcentral. Lineage: Eukaryota; Viridiplantae; Streptophyta; Magnoliopsida; Arecales; Arecaceae.